GACGAACGCUGGCGGCGUGCCUAAUACAUGCAAGUAGAACGCACAGUUUAUACCGUAGCUUGCUACACCAUAGACUGUGAGUUGCGAACGGGUGAGUAACGCGUAGGUAACCUGCCUGGUAGCGGGGGAUAACUAUUGGAAACGAUAGCUAAUACCGCAUAAUAUUAAUUAUUGCAUGGUAAUUAAUUGAAAGGUGCAAUUGCACCACUACCAGAUGGACCUGCGUUGUAUUAGCUAGUAGGUGAGGUAACGGCUCACCUAGGCGACGAUACAUAGCCGACCUGAGAGGGUGAUAGGCCACACUGGGACUGAGACACGGCCCAGACUCCUACGGGAGGCAGCAGUAGGGAAGCUUCGGCAAUGGACGAAAGUCUGACCGAGCAACGCCGCGUGAGUGAAGAAGGUUUUCGGAUCGUAAAGCUCGGUUGUAAGAGAAGAACGGGUGUGAGAGUGGAAAGUUCACACUGUGACGGUAUCUUACCAGAAAGGGACGGCUAACUACGUG
RNAcentral lists this ribosomal RNA (505 nucleotides) under uncultured bacterium. RNAcentral describes it as "partial 16S ribosomal RNA". It matches the Rfam family "Bacterial small subunit ribosomal RNA", at positions 28 to 507 of the family's 1533-position model. The record is from RNAcentral.